AUCAACCGAGAUUCCCCCAGUAGCGGCGAGCGAACGGGGAGCAGCCCAGAGCCUGAAUCAGUGUGUGUGUUAGUGGAAGCGUCUGGAAAGGCGCGCGAUACAGGGUGACAGCCCCGUACACAAAAAUGCACAUGCUGUGAGCUCGAUGAGUAGGGCGGGACACGUGGUAUCCUGUCUGAAUAUGGGGGGACCAUCCUCCAAGGCUAAAUACUCCUGACUGACCGAUAGUGAACCAGUACCGUGAGGGAAAGGCGAAAAGAA
This 261-nucleotide ribosomal RNA is filed under the name Escherichia coli. Its description in RNAcentral is "partial 23S ribosomal RNA". It matches the Rfam family "Bacterial large subunit ribosomal RNA", at positions 224 to 523 of the family's 2925-position model. Lineage: Bacteria; Pseudomonadati; Pseudomonadota; Gammaproteobacteria; Enterobacterales; Enterobacteriaceae. The record is from RNAcentral.